AACAUCGCGCACCUGCGGGAACCUGCGGAAGGAUCAUUACCGAGUGUGAACCCCCCCGUAAAAAAGAGGGGUUACCUCCCGUCCUUUGCUGGGAACCCCUUUCCAACUUGGAAGGAGGUUGUUUUCAGACCCUUCUGCUUCGGUGGGGUAACCCACCGGAACAACCUCAAAAAUAUUCUCAAUUCAAAACCGUUCAGUCCGAGAACUUUUUUGAAAAGCGAAAAAACUUUUAACAAUGGA
RNAcentral lists this unclassified non-coding RNA (240 nucleotides) under soil metagenome. Its description in RNAcentral is "partial contains 5.8S ribosomal RNA, internal transcribed spacer 2, and large subunit ribosomal RNA". The record is from RNAcentral.